This 713-nucleotide ribosomal RNA is filed under the name uncultured archaeon. RNAcentral describes it as "bacterial SSU rRNA". It matches the Rfam family "Archaeal small subunit ribosomal RNA", at positions 325 to 1044 of the family's 1478-position model. The record is from RNAcentral.
ACGGGGUGCAGCAGGCGCGAAACCUCCGCAAUACACGAAAGUGUGACGGGGUUACCCAAAGUGUUCUAUUUAGAACUGUGGUAGGUGAGUAAUGUCCCCUACUAGAAAGGAGAGGGCAAGGCUGGUGCCAGCCGCCGCGGUAAAACCAGCUCUUCAAGUGGUCGGGAUAAUUAUUGGGCUUAAAGUGUCCGUAGCCGGUUUAGUAAGUUCCUGGUAAAAUCGGGUAGCUUAACUAUCUAUAUGCUAGGAAUACUGCUAUACUAGAGGGCGGGAGAGGUCUGAGGUACUACAGGGGUAGGGGUGAAAUCUUAUAAUCCUUGUAGGACCACCAGUGGCGAAGGCGUCAGACUGGAACGCGCCUGACGGUGAGGGACGAAAGCCAGGGGAGCGAACCGGAUUAGAUACCCGGGUAGUCCUGGCCGUAAACGAUGCAUACUAGGUGAUGGCACGGCCAUGAGCCGUGUCAGUGCCGUAGGGAAACCGUUAAGUGUGCCGCCUGGGAAGUACGGUCGCAAGGCUAAAACUUAAAGGAAUUGGCGGGGGAGCACCACAAGGGGUGAAGCCUGCGGUUCAAUUGGACUCAACGCCGGAAAACUUACCAGGGGAGACAGCAGUAUGACGGUCAGGUUGACGACCUUACCUAACGAGCUGAGAGGAGGUGCAUGGCCGUCGCCAGUUCGUGCCGUGAGGUAUCCUGUUAAGUCAGGCAACGA